AACCAUCACUUGAAUUCUAUUUGUUAUUCUUAAUAGGAGUUCAGUGACACCAUUUUAAUGAUUUUUCUGUAUUAUUUGGUGCAAGUCUAUAUCUUCAAUCAAUAUAUUCAAAGAGGAAUUACCAUUUACAGUGAAUAUAAGCAGGAAUACAAUGUAGACUAUAUAGGAUGAGUAUUAUUAAAUAAAAACUGCAAUUUUUUAGAGCAAUAUUAUGUUUUGUGUGUUACCAACAGCAAUCUUUAGUAAAUUGGUUGCAAAUAAACCUGAUGAGACUGUUGACUGAUACUUUUAUGAUUAUAUAUGAUGUAAGUGAAGUUUAAUCUAUUGUAUAUAAUGCCUUGUCAUGUCAGAAGCCACUAGAUUUUAAUUGUUAUUAAGCGUCAUAAAUCAAUUUUUUAAUUUUGAUUCUAUUGAAAAAUAUUUUACUGUGACAAAACAAGCAAGUGCUGGUGGAAGACAAUAACUAUUAGCGUUGCAACCAGAGUUGCUUUGUGCUAAGCAACUCUUUACAAUGAUUUACAAGCAUUGAAAAGGGAUCUGCAAAAAAAGUGUGGCAUUCCUAGCCCAGGAUAACUACUUUUUGGCUGGAUUCUAAAGCUCAAUAUAACUAUUUCAAAGGGUCUCCUUAUCUUUAAAGAGCAGUGAUUUCAAGGAUAUUGAACUAUUAUUAUUUUAAUUGUGUAAUUAAAUGAAAUCAGUAUCUCAGUAUAGUGUUGCAUGCAAUAGCACUGAUAAAAAUUAAUCAUAAAAUUUCA
Molecule: long non-coding RNA, 755 nt
Organism: Amphimedon queenslandica
Lineage: Eukaryota; Metazoa; Porifera; Demospongiae; Haplosclerida; Niphatidae
Exons: 5
Source: RefSeq, a predicted model, not a curated record